Molecule: ribosomal RNA, 497 nt
Filed under: uncultured bacterium
Lineage: Bacteria
Description: partial 16S ribosomal RNA
Rfam family: Bacterial small subunit ribosomal RNA
Source: RNAcentral
GAUGAACGCUGGCGGCGUGCCUAAUACAUGCAAGUCGAGCGAACGGACGAGAAGCUUGCUUCUCUGAUGUUAGCGGCGGACGGGUGAGUAACACGUGGAUAACCUACCUAUAAGACUGGGAUAACUUCGGGAAACCGGAGCUAAUACCGGAUAAUAUUUUGAACCGCAUGGUUCAAAAGUGAAAGACGGUCUUGCUGUCACUUAUAGAUGGAUCCGCGCUGCAUUAUCUAGUUGGUAAGGUAACGGCUUACCAAGGCAACGAUGCAUAGCCGACCUGAGAGGGUGAUCGGCCACACUGGAACUGAGACACGGUCCAGACUCCUACGGGAGGCAGCAGUAGGGAAUCUUCCGCAAAGGGCGAAAGCCUGACGGAGCAACGCCGCAUGAGUGAUGAAGGUCUUCGGAUCGUAAAACUCUGUUAUUAGGGAAGAACAUAUGUGUAAGUAACUGUGCACAUCUUGACGGUACCUAAUCAGAAAGCCACGGCUAACUACGUG